Molecule: transfer RNA, 75 nt
Filed under: Mycobacterium phage Rizal
Lineage: Duplodnaviria; Heunggongvirae; Uroviricota; Caudoviricetes
Description: tRNA-OTHER
Rfam family: tRNA
About the family: Transfer RNA (tRNA) molecules are approximately 80 nucleotides in length. Their secondary structure includes four short double-helical elements and three loops (D, anti-codon, and T loops).
Source: RNAcentral
AUGCGAGAUCGUGCACGGCGCACUAGGAGCUUCUAACCCUCCGACUCGCGGGUUCGACUCCCGCAUCUCGCACCC